This 367-nucleotide unclassified non-coding RNA is filed under the name Hevea brasiliensis (rubber tree). The record is from RNAcentral. Lineage: Eukaryota; Viridiplantae; Streptophyta; Magnoliopsida; Malpighiales; Euphorbiaceae.
GGGAUUGCAGGUUUUGGACGUGAAAGUCCAAUUUCCAUACCCAAUCAACUUGCUUUAGACUCUAGAUUCACCAAGAAAUUUGGUAUAUGUUUGAGUUCAUCUACAACAUCUCCUGGAGUUAUCUUCAUCGGUUCUGGUCCAUAUUAUGUUUACAAUCCUAAGAAGAUCGACAUAUCAAACAAUAUUCUCUACACCAAAUUAAUCGCAAAUAAAAAUGCAUUUUUGGUAACUCAAGAGUACUAUAUCCAAGUUUCUUGCAUCAAAAUCGCGGGACAACAAGUUCCACUAAAUAAAACAUUGCUAUCUAUUAAUAAAAAAGAUAUAGAUGGUGGGACGAGAAUCAGCACAGCGUCACCUUACACAAUUU